Molecule: ribosomal RNA, 253 nt
Filed under: uncultured bacterium
Lineage: Bacteria
Description: partial 16S ribosomal RNA
Rfam family: Bacterial small subunit ribosomal RNA
Source: RNAcentral
UACGAGAGGCCCAAACGUUAUUCGGAAUUACUGGGCUUAAAGAGUUCGUAGGCGGCAUGAAAAGUAGGGUGUGAAAGCCCUCGGCUUAACCGAGGAAUUGCGCUCUAAACUGUCGUGCUCGAGGAACCUAGAGGUGAGCAGAACAGAUGGUGGAGCGGUGAAAUGCGUAGAUAUCUGGAGGAACACCGGUGGCGAAGGCGGCAUCCUGGACCAACACUGACGCUGAGGAGCGAAAGCCAGGGGAGCAAACGGG